UUUUUUUUUUUUUUUUGGUAUAUUAAAGUAAAUUGAGCCAACCUGAUUUUUUUUUUUCAUCACAGGAUUUAAGUUAUCCAUUUUCAAUAUCAUACGAGGAAUUAUUGAAUAUUUCCAAUAUAAAGAAUUAUCGAGUGCUCGCGAAUUCCACUAAUCAUUUUUCAGACGUGAGAUUAUAAAAAUUAAAAUAAAAAGGACGAGAGAGAUUAUAAAGAUUAAAAUAAAAAGUAACAGAGGAAAAAUUUUCAAGAAUUCUCCAGCUCACUUUAUUUGGCAUUUUAAUUUUUUAUGUAGGCGAGGGAAAGAGAUCAUAGUCAUAUACUCCAAAACAGGUACUAGUGACAAAAUACAUUACAUUCCAAGACCUGCAUUAUUUUUUACUUGCAUUAGAUACAUGAAAGUCAACUUUAUGUAAGUAUCACACACGCGAACAUAUGUAGCAGAGAGAUGAUCGUUGCGCGCUAGUUAGUCAUGAACGUCAAUAGCCGCAGCUAUACAUUGUGACAAACGAAAAAUCCAAAAUACGCUUUACAUUACCACGCCAAUAGCUCUCUUCCUUGGGGACUUAUCUGAUGGUGUUGCGUAGGAAGUUGGAGAUACUGUUGUUCUACACCGUCCCGCUUUCAUUUUCUUCCUCCUCAACAAUUUUUUCUCUAAAUCUUUCACUCUACCAGUCAGGUUGGAUAUGACUGCCAAUUGUUCUUUCCCUGCCUCAACUAAUUUUUCCAGCAUUUCCCCCAUUUUUUCAUUUUCUUCAACCAGCUUACUAUCACUUUCCAUCUCUAUUCCCUGCUCCUUGACAGACAGCUCGCUGGCAGCAGAGGGCUCAGGUAAUAACUCCCUCUUCUCUUCAUCAUGCUCAGUAAGCAUUAGUUGUGCCUCAACUACAGGCUCUCCCUCAGAAGUUUUCAGCCCGUAAUGCUGAUUAGCCACUUUGUCAGAGCCACUCACCAUCUCCAGAACAUGAAGUUCUUUCUCUUCUUGUACAAUUUCUUCAAUUCCAUCCCUUGCUGUCAGCUGGGCUACAUUAUCCUGAUCUUCUCCAAUGUGUGCAUCUUUCACCGGAGACAGAAUCACUGUGGUUGCAGCCUCUGAAGUGCAGGUGGAGUUGAUAUCAACAAUCCCCUGGUCAACUUCUUUCUGUACUUCAUCAAGAUUCUCUCUCUGCAGAGCAGGGGCUCUUUUGCUUCUCCCCUGGUGGAGAUUCUUCCCUCUGCUUAUCGUCUUUGUUGAAUAGCAAUGAUUGUGAUUGUUGGGCAUCUGCUUCAGGCAUUGCGUUUCUGGGGCAACCACCAUCCUUCUCACUUGCAACAUCUAGCCAAUUAUGCGGUUCAGCAACAAAGAGUCUUUCAUUAACCUCUUCCAUAGACUGCUGCUUUAACUUGCUCCGAAUUGGAACUUCCUCAUCUGGUGAAGACACCUCAGUCUCUGUUGGCCCUUCAUUGAGCAGUUCCAUUGGCUGCUGUUCUGAUUCAGUUAUAACUUGAACUCCUCCAUCAUCAAUUGUCAAUUGCCCACCCUUGUGCAGUUCCUUUGGUUGCAGCUCUAAUGCAUCAAUGGCAGCUUCACAUUCCACAUCUUCAUCACGUAAGACUUCAUUAUCCUGAAUUUCAGUUUGUUCUUGUUUCUCAGAUUCCUCAUCAUCAACUACUCCUACAGGCAAUUAUAGCAGUAAAUUCAUUUCUGGAAUUUCUUCAGGCAUGGUCAUCUCACCAAUUACUGCAAUAGGUGAAAUCAAAUCACUAGAUAUAUUUGAUUCCACCUCUUUGUCCCCUCUUAACCCUAUUAAACUUGUUCCAAUUUGGGGGUCCUCAGCAGAAGCAGCAGGCUCCUUGUCAGUUACAUUUUCCGGCAAUUCUGUUUUGCUCACUUGAGAGUUAUUAUCCAUAUGCUUUGAUUCGUUCACUUCAACUGAUUCAGACCUUUCCUCACUCUUUUGGUCACACCAUAUAUCAUCAAGUUGGGCUCCUGCCAUCUCCUUAGAACCACUCCUCUCUGAUGGCAAUUGGAAUGUUUGCUUAAUCUCAGAAGGCACAUGAUUCUCAGUCAUUAGCUCCGGUUCUUCCAAAUGAGAUUCAAGCUUCGUAAACACUGGUAAAACAUCACUUUCACAUUUCGUCUGCUCCUCUGAGACAACGGGAAGUUUUGAAGCUUCCAUAGCCUGGGUGUCAGACACUACGUCCAUCAUUUGACAAGCAUCAUGAUUUGGAUGUUCUGCUAUAUCGCCAUUUUGUCCUCCUUCAAUGCCUGUGAUAUUAUUAGGCUCAAUGCAAUGAUUUUCAGAAGAUUUAGCUUUCGCAAGUAAAUCAAGCUUCUCCAGCAGUUCUACGAGCUCCCUUGCCAAAGAUUUCCUAACAUCCCUGAGACUUGGGUGCAAUCCCUGUUGGGCAUUGAAAAUAAUAAAAGGAAAAAAAAGGGGAACUAAAUCAGAAACUUACAAUAAAAAAUAAAAAAUCCCUACAGUUUCAGAAGCUGAAUUAUCAUGCCAAAACCAUAAGCACUGUAUCCGAAGCAUUAUAAAAAUAGUUAACACAUAAUGUAUAUGUCGUUAAAAUUAGUACUCUAAACACAUUAUGAUAACAAUUUAACAACAAAUGCAUUCUUCUUCAAUGAUCUUGCUGUGUGUGUAUAUAUGUGCAUGUUUGUUAGAAUGUGUCAACUUGAUCAAUGCACUGUGCAAUCCUAAAUCUGAAUGUUUUUCAAUGUUACUUAAUGUUUCCAUUAAAUAACACAAGUGGAACCAAACUUAUUAAAGAAUCUCAUAUUCUUUUAUCAGAAUCCUUUUUUUCCUUUUUGACACAAAUGAUUAUCGGACAUGACACAUACAACAUGGAAAUUGAUUGUAUUCAUACCUGGAUAGUAUCCAAUUUUAGAAGAAGGCUCAUUAUCGUUUCCCCAAUUACCACCCUUUGCCUUUCAUCUUUUUGGAGAUCAGGAGAGGACUCUAAACCACAAAUCUUAUUCCUAACCUCAACAACCUGCUCCUGGACUUUAGCCAUUUGCUUUAUUUUCUUCAGUAGUUCCCAUUUUCCAACUUCAAACCCAUGGUAAGCAGACUGGAUACGCAGAGCAGCUUCUUCUUCUAAUAGUUCUUUUUUAUCUUCUUUUGGUUCCCCAUCAUCAGAUCUGCCUGCAUUAAUUGUUUCCUUCCUCUGAUUUGCUAUCUCAGUUGCCAGCCCAUCUGCAUUUCUUGAUCCUUUAUCCUCUUUGAUUACACAGUUGUCAUCAUUUUUUCCAGUCUUCUCUGCAGUAAGGUUGCUGGAGGACUCAUUUUCAGAAUCAACUGACGAAGUAAUUGGAAACUGUUGGGUUUGACAGCCAUUCCUCUGUUCUUCAUCCUUGUCUUCACCAGUCUUCCUAUGCACAACCUCUAUAACUUUGUCCUUGUUUUUUCCCCUUCUGCUUCUGUGCCGCUGCUUGAAGUGCUUUCCUGAGCUUGUAAAUUCUGAGAAUUCUUUAAUUUCACGUCCAAUGAAAUUGAGGCCAUGGGAUUAUCCUUUGCUGCAUCUUUUGACUGUUCUUUAAACCCAGGAGGACUGGAAGACCUGGAGAUUGCGUUACCAUUCUUUUUCUGAGGCAAGGGAUCAACUCUUAGACAAACAGGAGAUAACUUUAAUGUCUUUGGUGAGGAUGAUGACUGUCUUUUUGGACUGGAUGCAGUAUCUUUUCCCAUCCCAUUAUCUUCUGCAUUUUUCACAGAAGCAUCUCUUCCUCUCUGCUCAACAUCUUCAGAGUUCUCCUUAGGUGCUUCCAUUUGUUUCACAGGAAUGCUUCUUUGUUUAGAACUUUUUAUCAUUCAGCUCCAAAUCCGCCUGGCUGCCAGAAUUCUCAUGGCCCACUUGAGAUUUAUUCAUGCUAUCAUCACCAUUGGGGCAUUUCACUGGGAAUAACUUGCCACUAGAAGCUACCUCUUCCACAGACUUUGGAGCAGAGUCCAUCUCCACACCUUUCUUCUCAGCCUCACCCUGUCUAUUGUAAGAAGGCAUCCAGAUAAUAGGAAAUGGAAAUUGUCUCAUGUUGUCCUCAUUUUUCUGAUCUGCAGUACUCCUUCCAUUGUCACAUUGCAUUAAAGAUUGAAGGCUUUUCUUGUCAACUGGAAACCAGCUACUCCACACUCCUGGGUCCUGUUCAGAGAGCUUUACAAUUUGAGGAUGCUUCUUAUCUAUAGAAGUCUUGUCAGACUUCACCCUCCUAGCCAUAUCUGAUUCCAAAGACUUCCUAUUCUCUUCAUUCUUCAUAUACUCAGGCGGAAUCCACAAAACUGGAUAUGGAUAAUUUUUCAAUGGAAAUGGAACCAAAAACUCAUCCUUCUUAUUUUCAAUAUUGGGCUCCUGCUCUUCAAUCCUCACACUUUCACCAUUUCUCUGGUCAUGUUUACGGUUACGGCACCCACAACAGUGAUAAUCAUUGUUUCUGGGCUUGUCAUAUUCAUACCUAGGUAGCUCCCUCAAAUAAUGUAGUGGGGGCGCAUAAUGUAGACGGACCACAUCAAGAAAUGGAGGACGAUAUCCACAAUAAUGCAACUGUGGUGAUGAAAAAGGAGGAGGUCCAUAACUACAAUAACAAGGGAAGUUACCCUGGCUGCAAUAGUGGUAACAUGGAACUGAAUAACCAAAACUGUUAGGGUAAAGCCAAGGAUGAUUGAUGACAACAGACUUGGAUGGAUCAACCUUUGCAACAGGUGGAACAGCCUCAAAGCUUGGAUGAUAGUUCUGAUUCCAAGGCAUUUGGUUUCCAUGCAGGGGGUAUGAGUCCAUGCUUCUGUAAACAGGCAUUAUUUUCAGAAAAUCUUUUUACCAAUGUGACACCUUGGUAUUUCUUUUAUCAGUUGAAUGAAAGUAGAUGCCCAGAAAACCACCAAAGGUAGAGAGAACACACAACUAAAGAAAUAAAAAUAAAUUACAGCUUAGGAUGAAAUCAUCCACAGCUGCAUUUCGAGGAAGAAAUAUUGUGAAGAAUAAGCAGUACAGCAUGAGAUAAAGCAGACAACUAAAUGGUAAACCACUAAAAAUCCAACAUUAAAGCAUAAACAUAUUAAAAAUUACAUCACAGACUUUUAAUACAAAUUUAUGGUCCAAAUAUUUUGAACAUUAAGAAUCUGUUUGGAUGAAGAUGAGAGAGGGAUAAAUAAAGGUAAAGAAAGAUAAAUAAUUAUUUUAUCAUUAAUAGAGGAUAAGAGUAAAUAAGAAUAAACUUUACCCUCCCUUUCCCCUCAAAUCUCAAUUUUUUUAAUACCCCGAUGAAAAAGAAGUAAAAAGAGAAAAUAAUUAUGAAUAUUUCUAUUUCUGCACCACUUAAAUUUACCCGUCCUUCACCUCUUCACAAACAUAAAAAAAAUAUAUAUUACCUCCCUUUAUCUUCCCAUUUAUUCACUUCUUUCCAAACAUGAAAUUUUUUUUAUUAUGACUCUCCUCACUCCUCCCCUUCCUUACGUUUUCUUACCCUUCCAUUAAUUAUCAUUCCAUCACCUCAUCCAAACAUACCCUAAAAAAGUUAAAUUUUGAAAGGUUAGGCAAAGUAUUUCCUACUGAAAAAUUUACAGAAUGGCACAGCAUGGCACACCGAAUCCCAAACAUAAUUUCGCCCACUUUGUCUUUAUCGAUCCACGUUUAUGUCUAUCAUUACUUACUAAAUAGUAAUUAUCAUAGUAUGCCCCCUAAAUUACAUAAACCCUAAAAGAAGGUAUCAUCACCUAAUUUCCAAGAAUUACUUGCAAGACGAUUUAUUUAUACCUAAACAGGGAGUGAAGCCCCAGAGGCACAAUUAAAAACUUUCUUGAACAAAUCUGAUGAAACUAACUGGGCUGCAAUUAAUUGUAACAUUUCGUACUGACAACAAUAAAAUCUUUCAGAUAUCCAAUCAUUAAAGAUAUAAACUUAACGGUGCAUAUAAAGUAUGAAAAAUUCUUGUCCUGGAUCCAAUAUGAACUCUAAAGUGAGAUCCAAAUGUCUAGAUAAGUUUCCCCAGGUCUAGGUCUAGGUGUGUAUAAAAUAUAUUCUCAUUUACUCAUAGACUCUCACUACCAAUGUAUCAACUCUCAUUUUUUAAAUAAGCACAUAAAAUUGUUAGCAUAAUUACAGCAAUUAG
Molecule: unclassified non-coding RNA, 6087 nt
Filed under: Hevea brasiliensis (rubber tree)
Lineage: Eukaryota; Viridiplantae; Streptophyta; Magnoliopsida; Malpighiales; Euphorbiaceae
Source: RNAcentral